AGAUUUCAUUAGUGUCAAGUUCAGAUCCAUACAGUAUGACAUUGGUCAAAGGAGUUUAGGGAAAUAUAUUUUAGAGGCUUUCGUUAUUAGAGACGAGGUUUGGAAUAUAAUGAACAGCUGUCACUGUAGUCUCCAGAAGAAUAUGUGGUGCAGAGGAAACCAAAGUUCCAAGCAAGCAAAGGAAAUCACUGCACAAGUAACUAUGGAAUGCCUAUGAGCCUGCUCAUUUCUCCAAAAUGUAGUGAGUUUCAGAAAGCAAGUAGAUCUACUGGAAGGACUGGGAAAUCAAAAGCAAAUGAACAGCACUUCAUGUCAACAGAUGUUACUAGAAUUUUGUAAUGGGCAAAUGUGCUCCAUGCCAACCUAAAAAACGAGCACUGCCAAGAUUCGCUGAGAGGAAAACUACAAUCAAGUGAAGGUCCACACAAUUUUAAAGUUUGGCAACGCUACCCGCAUGCAUUCAAACUAAAUUUCAGAUAACUGUAUUAAGAAAAAUAGUGCUUUUGCCAUGACCUAUCUAUGGAGAUUUGUUGCUUUGUUCCACUGACAAUUCUGAAUUUUACAACCAUUUUGUAAAAUGUAUCAGAUACAUGAAUAAUGGGUUUAGAAAGUCAUAAAAUUAUAUUUACUUUGCUUAGCCAAAAUUUUAAUUCAUCCCAUGUAUUUUACAGUGUCCAGAAAGAUUUUUGAUAUACUUUCAUACUCUUUCAUUAAAGUUAAACAUGCCUAAGCCUAAGAACAAUUAAAGUUAGUUAGGUUCCCUAGAAGCGUCGGUGCAGUUUAAAUUAAAAGGAGCCCUUGACUUGAUAUUAAAAGAGCUGACUUCCAGACCUGGAUGUGUUCAAAUACGCAGUGUGAGCUCAAGCAAGGCUUAAUCUUGACUUCAUUCCCUCUUCUAUAAAGUGAGGUGGAUUUGACCGGCUGAUUUUGUAGGUUCAUUCCUACUUGUACUUCUCUUUGGUACCACAUUAUGUAUAGUCAUUUGUAUACUUGUCAACCACCCCCCCCCCCUUGUAGGACAUAAGCUCUGUCCUUGAAAGUAAGAAAUACGUCAGUCAUUUUCUCUCCUGCAAAUUAGAUAGCAAAGGAAACCAACACAUAGCAGAUGGGAGCGCAGGAAAUGUUUGUGGAAACCAAAAUGGGGCAGAGGAGUACUGUCUCGUUCUAGAGACAGACAUACAUUUCUCUGAACUGAAGCACUGUGGUGACUGCCACUUCCAUCUCAUCAGUGUUGGAAUGAAAGGCGGCCAGUAGAAAAAAGUAUAAGACGUCAGAGCUUAAAAAAAUGUACAUG
This is a long non-coding RNA of Canis lupus familiaris (dog), 1294 nucleotides long. RefSeq lists it as uncharacterized. The transcript has 3 exons. The record is from RefSeq and is a predicted model, not a curated record. Lineage: Eukaryota; Metazoa; Chordata; Mammalia; Carnivora; Canidae.